AUACGUAGGGAGCGAGCGUUGUCCGGAAUUACUGGGUGUAAAGGGAGCGUAGGCGGGAAGGCAAGUUGGAUGUGAAAACUGUGGGCUCAACCGACAGACUGCAUUCAAAACUGUUUUUCUUGAGUGAAGUAGAGGCAAGCGGAAUUCCUAGUGUAGCGGUGAAAUGCGUAGAUAUUAGGAGGAACACCAGUGGCGAAGGCGACUUACUGGACUGUAACUGACGCUGAGGCGCGAAAGUGUGGGGAGCAAACAGGAUUAGAUACCCUGGUAGUCCACACGGUAAACGAUGAAUGCUAGGUGUAGGGGGUAUCGACCCCUUCUGUGCCGCAGUCAACACAAUAAGCAUUCCGCCUGGGGAGUACGGCCGCAAGGUUGAAACUCAAAUGAAUUGACGGGG
RNAcentral lists this ribosomal RNA (397 nucleotides) under uncultured bacterium. RNAcentral's name for it is "partial 16S ribosomal RNA". It matches the Rfam family "Bacterial small subunit ribosomal RNA", at positions 523 to 918 of the family's 1533-position model. The record is from RNAcentral.